AUCAAGGACAAGACUAGAAUAUCCACAACCUUUCCCAAUAUGAGCUUGACUUCUGUAAAUUUUUUUCAAAAUAAAAAAAAAAUUGCACUUUUUUUUUGUUUAUUUCUCUCUCCUCUCAUUCUCUCUCUAAAAUUACCAUCAACUGAACGCAGAAAACGCUGAUAAAAUUUCUUCCCCAAAAAAAACGGCAUCAUAUCCUUCAACUUCAACCUUCUUUUAUUAUCACUGGUUAGAGCUUCAAAAUUCAAAAUUCCCAAAAAAAAAAAGAAAAAAAAGAUAAAAGAGAGAUAAUUUAAAGAGAGAAAGAAAGUGAGAAAAUUUAUAAGUAGUAGUUUAUAUUGUUAGAAAGUAAUUUGUGGGUAUUAUUGUUUGAGGAAUUGUAAAUUCUGGGUUUAUUUCCAUAUGUAAAUGCAUCAGAAGAAAUCUGAAGUUCAGAUCGGAAAAGAAAGCAGUGGCAUCUCUUCCGAUUUUAACCCAAGUCCACCUCUUUUAUUUCCAUCAUUAAUAACACAAAAACACCCAAAUAAUAAUCAUCAUAAUAUAAAUCAUCAAUUUCUUCAUUUUCAAUCAAACCCACCUUUAAUCUCUGCAUAUAACCCUAAUUCUGGUGUUUUGAAUGCAAUUAAAGUGAAUAAUGAGCCAAAUUUGGGGUCAAUUACAUCACCUUCAUCUUCUGCAACAACACCAAAAAACCCCCUUUUGUCAACUCCUCAUAAAAGGCCAUUGAUGAACCCAACAACUUCAUCUUCCAUUGUUAAAUCUCCAACUUUACCUUCAUCAUUAAGUAAUUACCCAUUUUCUGCAACACCCACUUCGAAUUUGAAGUAUUUAUCGUUGAAUUCGAGGUGCCCGUCUUUGUUUUUGGUGUUUUCAACGGCAAAAUCGGCGGCGUUUAGGUUAAUUAGGCGGUUUAGGCAUAUUAGGAGACUUAGGGUUCAUCUACGUUUGGUACUUUUGCUGGCUUUGCCGUUUUUUUACUUCUUGGUAUCACAUCCUAGUCACUCUUUUAUUCUUGAUUUUCUUUCUGCAUUUGCAUUUUCUGCUGCACUUUUGUUCUCUCUUAAUCUUGCCCUGCCUAGACUGCCCUCAAUUAGGGUGUUCCUCAAUCGAUCAUUCCCUUUCCCUAUCAAGUUAUCGUCGUCGUCUUCGACUGCUUCCCGGCCUUUGCCGGUGUUUUGGUCGAUUGGGUCGAGGCCGAAAGCAGAGAAGAAAGUAAGUUCAGGAUGUUGGGUUCAGGUUUAUAGCAAUGGGAUGUAUAUGAGGGUGAGUUUCAUAAGGGUAAGUGUUCAGGUAGUGGGGUGUAUUAUUACUACAUGAGUGGGAGGUAUGAGGGGAUUGGGUUGAUGGGAAGUAUGAUGGACAUGGAGUAGAAACAUGGGCUCGAGGGAGCCGCUAUCGAGGACAGUAUAGGCAAGGUCUUAGACAUGGUUUUGGUGUGUAUAGGUUUUAUACAGGGGAUGUGUAUGCAGGUGAGUGGUCUAAUGGGCAGAGCCAUGGUUGUGGGAUACAUACUUGCGAGGAUGGUAGUCGAUAUGUUGGCGAAUUCAAGUGGGGUGUUAAACAUGGUCUUGGCCACUACCAUUUUAGGAAUGGGGACACGUAUGCUGGAGAAUACUUCGCAGACAAAAUGCAUGGGUUUGGAGCUUAUAAAUUUGCCAAUGGCCAUCGGUAUGAAGGAGCCUGGCAUGAGGGUAGAAGACAAGGGCUUGGAAUGUAUACGUUUAGAAAUGGAGAAACCCAAGCAGGCCACUGGCAUAAUGGGAUACUUGACGUCCCAAGCACACAAAACGCAGCCUGCCCCGUGUCUCCUGUUGCUGUAAAUCAUUCCAAAGUACUCAAUGCCGUGCAGGAAGCAAGACGAGCAGCAGAGAAAGCAUAUGAUGUUGCAAAGGUUGAUGAAAGAGUAAAUAGAGGUGUAGCUGCUGCAAAUCGUGCUGCCAAUGCUGCCAGAGUUGCAGCCGUUAAAGCUGUUCAGAAGCAAAUGCAUCAUGACACUAAGCAUGACCACCAUACUCCGGUUCCAAUCGUAUGACAGUAACAGCAUCAUCUUCGAGACAUCUAUUAUAGAAGAUAUAGGCAGCUGAGUGAAUGAUUAUCACAUCGAUAUCAUUCCUGUGAUCGGCUUUGGCACCUUUGCUUGCUUAACUUGAGAGGGGUCCUUGAACGCAUAGUACUUAAAUCAAAAUGAGAUAUGUUUCUAGUUGAAACAACAGUCAGUCUUAUAUUACUCGUGUCAUUUCUCAUCUGUAGCUUCCUCGUUUCAGUAGUUGUAUUGGAGGAAGAUUUGAUGGGUGUUUAGUUUUGCCCUUUCUGGUUUUUAAUUUGUAAAAAAAAAACGGUUAAUCAGGUGUAAUAGGAGCUGGUGCUUAGGUCAAAACCUUAAUCCGGCCGGUGUUGUAUCAAUGUGAAUUUGCCUUUGAAAUGGAAAAUCUAGAGAAAGUUGGUGUAACAAUCUUUUGCUUA
RNA transcript from Beta vulgaris subsp. vulgaris (sugar beet), 2463 nucleotides. RefSeq lists it as uncharacterized. The transcript is spliced from 3 exons. Lineage: Eukaryota; Viridiplantae; Streptophyta; Magnoliopsida; Caryophyllales; Amaranthaceae. The record is from RefSeq and is a predicted model, not a curated record.